UCCUCAAGAUCUUCCUCGAGAACGUCAUACGCGACGCCGUCACCUACACCGAGCACGCCCGCCGCAAGACCGUCACCGCCAUGGACGUCGUCUACGCGCUCAAGCGCCAGGGCCGCACCCUCUACGGCUUCGGAGGCUAGAUCUGCAGUGGAGCAACUUCCUCGUUUGCUCUGUGUGAUAUGUGCUGUGCUGGAUGGAUUUACCGAUCUGGUGUGCGUCGUUGUAUUCUGUCUUUGGGUUGAGUAGGCUGUGUAAUACCUUGUUCUGUUCAAUGCAAUCAGUUCGAUUCUGAAUCCUGACGAAAUGCUUCACUGUUGAAUUGUGAUUUGUUUUCUCUAAGACCGACUGAUUUGAUCUGUUUGGACAGUACAGCUACAGUGAAUCAGU
RNAcentral lists this long non-coding RNA (387 nucleotides) under Triticum aestivum (bread wheat). RNAcentral describes it as "long non-coding RNA (TAES_LNC021235)". The record is from RNAcentral. Lineage: Eukaryota; Viridiplantae; Streptophyta; Magnoliopsida; Poales; Poaceae.